Long non-coding RNA from Monomorium pharaonis (pharaoh ant), 810 nucleotides. RefSeq lists it as uncharacterized. Lineage: Eukaryota; Metazoa; Arthropoda; Insecta; Hymenoptera; Formicidae. The record is from RefSeq and is a predicted model, not a curated record. The transcript has 3 exons.
UUGUUGAUUGUACUAUAUUUUGAAAAAUGGGAGAAGUUUUAAGAAAAAACGCUUGAUUUUCCAUAAUCAGUUUGUAAAACAAUUUAUCUUUUAUUCCAAAUUGACAUUCGUAUUAUUUGAUUGUUGAGACAAAAAAGAAUUUAAAUUCAAAAGUUGCCACUGAUCUUGUGAAUGCAGCGACACUAGGGCGUAAAUCCUUACUUUAAAACUGGAUUUUUAUUCCCACAUAUGAAAAAUCGAGUGACAAUAUAUUUUCGUCGCGUUCUGUCAAGAUUAUUGAUUCAUAAACGGACACUCCUAAUUGGGAAUAUCACUGCGACGCAUGUAUAAUUAAUCAGGACUACACCCACUUCUAUUCUAUGGCGGAACACGACAAACAUUACAGAUACAUGUGUAAUACAUGCACAUAUAAUCGCUUCGGCCCGAUUGACUCACUUUGUAAUGCUCUUGACUGUGACAGCGGUUUCAGAAUGAACUUCAAGGUGUACACACGCAUACAAGUAUGGAAAUGAGAGGACAUUAACUUACGUGUGUAUAUAAUCUCGGGUUUUUGCGGCUCCUUUCUUCUUCGCGCCGGCGAUAGCUUAUCAUUCUCGGCAUGCCACUUCUUCAAGCAUUGGGGCUCGUGAAUGGCAAUACUCGAGGAACCGAAAUCUCGGCCGCAGAUAUAACAUAAACUCACCGGAUACAUCGUAUAUUUUGGUGGAAUUUCCUGUCCAUUAUCGUCCGAUUGCCUGGGGGCUUGAUUUUCCUGCUGUCUUGAAUCAUUCUGCGCUUGCCAUCGCCUAUUGCAUUGAGGUUCGUGAAUCU